GUCCCUGUAACGCAAUGGAUAGCGCGCGCGUUGGACUUCUUGUUCAAAGGUCGUGGAAUCGAGUCCCACCUGGGAUG
Non-coding RNA from Trichonephila clavipes, 77 nucleotides. Lineage: Eukaryota; Metazoa; Arthropoda; Arachnida; Araneae; Nephilidae. The record is from the annotation of a GenBank genome assembly.